RNAcentral lists this long non-coding RNA (1182 nucleotides) under Papio anubis (olive baboon). RNAcentral describes it as "lncRNA (ENSPANG00000048322.1)". The record is from RNAcentral. Lineage: Eukaryota; Metazoa; Chordata; Mammalia; Primates; Cercopithecidae.
AUGCCCUCCCUCCUCACCUUUCCUUCAGCUGUCGGCGCGGGGAAUCGAUGUUGGGUGCAAGGGUGUCCUCUAAUUAGGUCCUGGGCAGGGUUUCCGGGGCUCUCAUCCUUCCAGCUGAUUGUGCGCGCUAUGGGGGAGGGUGGUGGCAUGUGUCCUCAGGCUUCUGAGGAGUGGCGAUGGUGGAGAGUGGCUGGCCUGGCCGUGCACUUAAACACUACAUUGUCGUGGAAGCUGUUGGGUCGAGCUAUUCCCAUCUCUGUAUGGAAAAAAAUACAAUCAACUUCAUGCUGCACCUCCUACAAGGAAAAGAAUGGGUGUUCUGAUAGCAUGGGGUUUGGGAGAACUGUUUUUUCAAGCUGGUCCAUGUUAUCAGACCCCAUACAGUUGCUCCUAAGUAUUGCUGCUUUGACAAGGAUCCAAUUUCUUCCUUCCUUCCUUCCUUCCUUCCUUCCUUCCUUCCUUCCUUCCUUCCUUCCUUCCUUUCUUUCUUUUUCUUUCUUUCUUUCUUUUCUUUCUUUCUUUCUCUCUCUUUCCUUCCCUCCUUCCCUCCUUCCCUCCUUCCUUCCUUCUUUGCUUCCUUCCUCUCUCCUUCUUUCUUUCUUUCUCUCUCGCUUUCUUUUCUUCUUUCUUUCUCUCCUUCCUUCCUUCCUCUCUUCCUUCUUCCUUUCUUUCUUUUCUUUCUUUCUUUCUUUCUCCUUCCUUCCUUCCUCUCUCUUCCUUCUUCCUUCCUUCCCUCCUUCCUUCCUUCCUUUCUUCCUUUUCCUUUCUUUCUUUCUUUCUUUCUUUCUUUCUUUCUUUCUUUCUUUCUUUCUUUCUUUCUCUUUCUUUCCUUCUUUCUUUCUCUCCUUCCUUCCUUCCUUUUUCCUUCCUUCCUCUCUCUCUCCUUUUCUUUCUUUCUUUCUUUCUUUCUUUCUUUCUUUCUUUCUUUCUUUCUUUCUUUCUUUCCUUCUUUCCUUCCUUCCUUCCUUCCUUCCUUCCUUCCUUCCUUCCUUCCUUCCUUCCUCUCUCUUCUUUCUUUCUUCCUUCCUUCCUUUCUCUCUUUCCUUCCUUCCCUCCUUCUUUCCUUCCUCUCUCUCUCUUUUCUUUCUUUUUUUCUUUCCUUUCCUUCCCUCCUUCCUUCCUUCCUUCCUUCCUUCCUUCCUUCCUUCUUCCUUCCUUCUUCCUUCCUUCCUUCUUUUUUGA